CAGUAGCCGCGGUAAUACGUAGGUGGCAAGCGUUGUCCGGAAUUAUUGGGCGUAAAGCGCGCGCAGGUGGUUUAAUAAGUCUGAUGUGAAAGCCCACGGCUCAACUGUGGAGGGUCAUUGGAAACUGUUAAACUUGAGUGCAGGAGAGAAAAGUGGAAUUCCUAGUGUAGCGGUGAAAUGCGUAGAGAUUAGGAGGAACACCAGUGGCGAAGGCGGCUUUUUGGCCUGUAACUGACACUGAGGCGCGAAAGCGUGGGGAGCAAACAGGAUUAGAUACCCCUGUAGUCCUGUCUCUUAUACA
RNAcentral lists this ribosomal RNA (301 nucleotides) under uncultured bacterium. RNAcentral's name for it is "partial 16S ribosomal RNA". It matches the Rfam family "Bacterial small subunit ribosomal RNA", at positions 509 to 809 of the family's 1533-position model. The record is from RNAcentral.